GUCCCGAUAGCUCAGUCCGGUUAGAGCGAUCGGCUGUUAACCGAUAGGUCGCUGGUUCAAAUCCAGCUCGGGACG
This 75-nucleotide transfer RNA is filed under the name Nanobdellota archaeon. RNAcentral describes it as "tRNA-Asn". It matches the Rfam family "tRNA". Rfam says of the family: Transfer RNA (tRNA) molecules are approximately 80 nucleotides in length. Lineage: Archaea; Nanobdellati; Nanobdellota. The record is from RNAcentral.